This 428-nucleotide ribosomal RNA is filed under the name uncultured bacterium. RNAcentral describes it as "partial 16S ribosomal RNA". It matches the Rfam family "Bacterial small subunit ribosomal RNA", at positions 354 to 796 of the family's 1533-position model. The record is from RNAcentral.
GUGGGGAAUAUUGGGCAAUGGGCGCAAGCCUGACCCAGCAACGCCGCGUGAAGGAAGAAGGCUUUCGGGUUGUAAACUUCUUUUACCAGGGACGAAACAAAUGACGGUACCUGGUGAAUAAGCCACGGCUAACUACGUGCCAGCAGCCGCGGUAAUACGUAGGUGGCGAGCGUUAUCCGGAUUUAUUGGGUGUAAAGGGCGUGUAGGCGGGACAGCAAGUCAGAUGUGAAAACCAGAGGCUCAACCUCUGGCCUGCAUUUGAAACUGUUGUUCUUGAGUGUCGGAGAGGUAAUCGGAAUUCCGUGUGUAGCGGUGAAAUGCGUAGAUAUACGGAGGAACACCAGUGGCGAAGGCGGAUUACUGGACGAUAACUGACGCUGAGGCGCGAAAGCGUGGGGAGCAAACAGGAUUAGAUACCCGGGUAGUCC